CGCUGGCGGCGUGCCUAAUACAUGCAAGUCGAGCGGAAUGAUGAAGAAGCUUGCUUCUUCUGAUUUUUAGCGGCGGACGGGUGAGUAACACGUGGGCAACCUACCUUGUAGAUUGGGAUAACUCCGGGAAACCGGGGCUAAUACCGAAUAAUCCAUUUUGCUUCAUGGCGAGAUGUUAAAAGGCGGCUUCGGCUGUCACUACGAGAUGGGCCCGCGGCGCAUUAGCUAGUUGGUAGGGUAAUGGCCUACCAAGGCGACGAUGCGUAGCCGACCUGAGAGGGUGAUCGGCCACACUGGGACUGAGACACGGCCCAGACUCCUACGGGAGGCAGCAGUAGGGAAUCUUCCACAAUGGACGAAAGUCUGAUGGAGCAACGCCGCGUGAGUGAAGAAGGUUUUCGGAUCGUAAAACUCUGUUGUAAGGGAAGAACACGUACGAGAGUAACUGCUCGUACCUUGACGGUACCUUAUUAGAAAGCCACGGCUAACUACGUG
RNAcentral lists this ribosomal RNA (495 nucleotides) under uncultured bacterium. RNAcentral describes it as "bacterial SSU rRNA". It matches the Rfam family "Bacterial small subunit ribosomal RNA", at positions 34 to 507 of the family's 1533-position model. The record is from RNAcentral.